Hydra vulgaris (swiftwater hydra) is the source of this 316-nucleotide long non-coding RNA. RefSeq lists it as uncharacterized. NCBI's taxonomy places the organism in Eukaryota, Metazoa, Cnidaria, Hydrozoa, Anthoathecata, Hydridae. The record is from RefSeq and is a predicted model, not a curated record.
UGACUUGUUCUAUAUAAAUGUUUCUAACAUGCAGGUAACAUUUAUAUAUGUAUUAGUUUGAAUAAAUCAUUUUAAUAAAGUUACAUUAUAGGCAGGAAUGUUUGACUGGAAAUAUAAACGAUGUUGUACAUAAUGCAGAUAGCUUAGGCAAAAAAGAGAUUGGUGAAAUGGAGAAUGAGACUAACUAGGGUAAAAAAAAAAUGAAUAUUAAUAUGUGAAUGGUACUUUGUUUAACAUCUACCUGUUUCUACAGAUACAGUACAGACGCAUUUAUAAAUGGGCUUGAUGUUUUUUUGAAUUAAAUAUGUUGUAUUGA